AUGGAAGAAAAACUCUCUUCUAUGCGACAAGAUGUCAUUCAGGAAUUUGUGGUGCUUUAUCAAAGAGUAGGGCCUUAUCUACCGAUCGAGCCCUACUUGGUCGAUGAAGCGCUUCGUUCCUAUCUGGACCAUAUUCAUGCAACUGAUUCUUUCACUGUUCUCCAAGCGUCUUAUCAAGAUCCGCGGGAGAAUGAGGGAGGAUCCGUUUUCUUUCGAAAUGUUGUUUCCCACAACCGGGAUCUCCUUGAGGCGGAAAGCUCCGCAAGGAGGUGCCUGGAAGUGGAACAGAGGAUCCGGUGGGAAGAAAUGCCCAAGAGCAAGGCAAGUCUCGAAAGAGCUAAGCACGAGCAUGCUCUCAACUUGUUUAAGUCGGAGGAUCUUAGAAGGGAAUUAGAAAAAAAAGAGCAGGGAGGGGGAGACCCAAUAUUAUACCAGCAUCUCUUUUGGUUCUUCGGUCAUCCAGAGGUGUAUAUUCUCAUUCUACCUGGAUUUGGUAUUAUUAGUCAUAUCGUAUCGACCUUUUCAAGAAAACCGGUCUUUGGGUAUCUAGGCAUGGUUUAUGCCAUGAUAAGUAUAGGUGUUCUUGUAUUUCUAGUUUGGGCUCAUCAUAUGUUUACUGUGGGCUUAGACGUUGAUAUGCGUGCCUACUUCACCGCAGCUACCAUGAUCAUAGCUGUGCCCACAGGAAUCAAAAUCUUUAGUUGGAUCGCUACCAUGUGGGGAGGUUCGAUACAAUACAAAACACCCAUGUUAUUUGUUGUAGGGUUCAUCUUUUUGUUCACCAUAGGAGGGCUCACUGGAAUAGUUCUAGCAAACUCUGGGCUAGACAUUGGUCUACAUGAUACUUAUUAUGUGGUUGCACAUUUCCAUUAUGUACUUUCUAUGGGAGCCGUUUUUUCUUUAUUUGCUGGAUUUUACUAUUGGGUGGGUAAAAUCUUUGGUCAGACAUAUCCUGAAACUUUAGGCCAAAUCCAUUUUUGGAUCACUUUUUUCGGGGUUAAUCUGACCUUCUUUCCCAUGCAUUUCUUAGGGCUUUCGGGUAUGUCACAUCGCAUUCCAGAUUAUCCAGAUGCUUACGCCAGAUGGAAUGCUCUGAGCAGUUUCGGUUCUUAUAUAUCCGUAGUUGGGAUUCGUCGUUUCUUCGUAGUUGUCGCAAUCACUUCAAGCAGUGGAAAGAACCAAAAAUGUGCGGAAAGUCCUUGGGCUGUUGAACAGAAUCCAACCACACUAGAAUGGUUGGUACAAAGCCCUCCGGCCUUUCAUACUUUUGGAGAACUUCCUGCGGUAAAAGAGACAAAAAGCUAA
RNAcentral lists this ribosomal RNA (1305 nucleotides) under Triticum aestivum (bread wheat). RNAcentral's name for it is "partial small subunit ribosomal RNA". Lineage: Eukaryota; Viridiplantae; Streptophyta; Magnoliopsida; Poales; Poaceae. The record is from RNAcentral.